RNAcentral lists this ribosomal RNA (459 nucleotides) under uncultured bacterium. RNAcentral's name for it is "partial 16S ribosomal RNA". It matches the Rfam family "Bacterial small subunit ribosomal RNA", at positions 338 to 795 of the family's 1533-position model. The record is from RNAcentral.
CCUACGGGUGGCAGCAGUGAGGAAUAUUGGUCAAUGGUCGGGCGACUGAACCAGCCAAGCCGCGUGAGGGAUGACGGUACAGAGUAUCGUAAACCUCUUUUGUCAGGGAACAAAGCCGGGUACGUGUCCCCGGAUGAGUGUACCUUGAGAAAAAGCAUCGGCUAACUCCGUGCCAGCCGACGCGGUAAUACGGGGGAUGCGGGCGUUAUCCGGAUUUAUUGGGUUUAAAGGGUGCCCAGGCGGUAUGUGAAGUCCGCGGUAAAAGCCCGGGGCUCAACCCCGGCCCGCCGUUGAAACUGGCAGUCUCGAGUGGGAGAGAAGUAUGCGGAAUGCGCGGUGUAGCGGUGAAAUGCAUAGAUAUCGCGCAGAACUCCGAUUGCGAAGGCAGCAUGCCGGCUCCAAACUGACGCUGAGGCACGAAAGCGUGGGUAUCGAACAGGAUUAGAUACCCGAGUAGUC